UCUGUCUCAAUUUAUGUGAUUCACUUUCCUUUUUGGUCCGUCCCAAAAAGAAUGACACAUUUCCUUAUUUGGUAAAUAUUUAAUGACAUUAUCCCUAUUUUACCCUUCUUGAAUCUCAUUAUUUCAAUAGUUGCACUCUUUUAAUUUAAAGAAAAAGUUAUUGAAAUGCAGUAAAGUACAACUAUUUUUCUCUUUUUACUGAUAGUCAACAGUACUUUAACACUUUUAUCAAUACUUUG
RNAcentral lists this long non-coding RNA (239 nucleotides) under Solanum tuberosum (potato). RNAcentral's name for it is "long non-coding RNA (STUB_LNC005727)". The record is from RNAcentral. Lineage: Eukaryota; Viridiplantae; Streptophyta; Magnoliopsida; Solanales; Solanaceae.